This 255-nucleotide ribosomal RNA is filed under the name uncultured bacterium. RNAcentral's name for it is "partial 16S ribosomal RNA". It matches the Rfam family "Bacterial small subunit ribosomal RNA", at positions 524 to 776 of the family's 1533-position model. The record is from RNAcentral.
UACGGGGGGAGCAAGCGUUGUUCGGAUUUACUGGCGUAAAGGGUGCGUAGGCGGCUUGUUAAGUCAGGGGUGAAAGUUUUCGGCCCAACCGGAAAAUUGCCCUUUGAUACUGGCGAGCUCGAGUGCGUGAGGGGUAACCGGAACGAGCAGUGUAGCGGUGAAAGUGCGCAGAGUAUCAGGAGGAACACCGAUGGCGAAGGCAGGUCUCUGGGCCACUACUGACGCUGAGAAGCGAAAGCGUGGGGAGCGAACAGG